RNAcentral lists this ribosomal RNA (493 nucleotides) under uncultured bacterium. Its description in RNAcentral is "partial 16S ribosomal RNA". It matches the Rfam family "Bacterial small subunit ribosomal RNA", at positions 30 to 523 of the family's 1533-position model. The record is from RNAcentral.
AUUGAACGCUGGCGGCAUGCUUUACACAUGCAAGUCGAACGGUAACAGGUUAAGCUGACGAGUGGCGAACGGGUGAGUAAUGCAUCGGAACGUGCCCGGUCGUGGGGGAUAACACUUCGAAAGAAGUGCUAAUACCGCAUACGAUCUGAGGAUGAAAGCGGGGGACCGUAAGGCCUCGCGCGAUCGGAGCGGCCGAUGUCAGAUUAGGUAGUCGGUGGGGUAAAGGCUCACCAAGCCGACGAUCUGUAGCUGGUCUGAGAGGACGACCAGCCACACUGGGACUGAGACACGGCCCAGGCUCCUACGGGAGGCAGCAGUGGGGAAUUUUGGACAAUGGGCGCAAGCCUGAUCCAGCAAUGCCGCGUGCAGGAAGAAGGCCUUCGGGUUGUAAACUGCUUUUGUACGGAGCGAAAAGGCUCCCUCUAAUACAGGGGGCUCAUGACGGUACCGUAAGAAUAAGCACCGGCUAACUACGUGCCAGCCGCCGCCGUAA